This 77-nucleotide transfer RNA is filed under the name Candidatus Cloacimonadota bacterium. RNAcentral's name for it is "tRNA-Asp". It matches the Rfam family "tRNA". Rfam says of the family: Transfer RNA (tRNA) molecules are approximately 80 nucleotides in length. Lineage: Bacteria; Pseudomonadati; Candidatus Cloacimonadota. The record is from RNAcentral.
GGGGUGGUAGAUCAAUUGGUUAGAUCGCAGCACUGUCACUGCUGAGGCUGGGGGUUCAAGUCCCCUCCAUCCCGCCA